CCAAAUCUAUUCCUAUACCAGGUCCGACUCCUCCUCGCCAAGACGACGUAGUUACAAUGCCAAACUACAUCGUUUCAUUCAUCCCCAUCCUUAAACGACCAAACGCACCCCUGGUCUUUCAUUUUAGUUCAUUCAAAAUAAAGGAAAAUCCGAAUCCACUCUUCUCUGAAAUCACCGCCUCCCUCCGCCAUAGCUCCGCCGCCCGAAAAUUGCCUCACGGUGGCGGAUCAUCUCCAAAUCCCUUCAAAUUUUAACUGAACAGUCCUCAUCAUCCCCUCUUUCAUGUUCCACCAUCAAUUUCUCCAAAAGACCACCCGAUUUCUCUGAAUUUCAUAUCAUAGAAUAAAUAUCUAAAAUUUUUCUCCUUUUUCAAAAUUUUUUGGAUUAAAUCUUCAAUCCAUAGUAAAUACCUCGUGAAUUACCCAGCUCUUCAACAAAAUAACUUUGUUUGAACAAUCAAGAAGAUCUUCCUGUGAAUUUGGUCAAAUUUCGGACAAAUGGUUCUUGAGUUUUUCAUUCUUUCGAGCCUCUGUUCCAUUUUCUCUUGGCACACAUUGAUGAUUGUUGCAUGAAUCAUUAGCCAUGAACGAGAGUUCGGCUGAUGUUUAUGUGGCAAUUCUGACCGUUUGGUCGAGCUUUUGGAUUCCCCGGAGUUUGAGUUUAAGUCAUCUUUGUUAUUGAUGAUUUUGAAGUUAAUUGGAUUCUAUUGGUAUUUUCUUGUUCUUUUCUUCUUUAAGUUCAGUUGUUAGUCAUAAAUUCUUCCUCUCUUCUGUAGACUAGAUUAAAUAUAUCGGUCAGUAAUCUAGUAUUGAUUUGCAUUAUUUCUGUUAAAGUACUUUGUUCAAAAAAAAAGAAAAAAGAAAAAAUGAAUAAUUAUAUAUACACUAUUUCAGUCCAGGAUUGGACUUGCCAUUUCUUUUCUCUAAAUUUUUGUGGUUUAGACUGGGUUUGGGGUUAUCGAUACAAGCCCAUUGAGUGAAGGUCCAAAUUUUGAAGCUCAUUCGUUGUCCCAAGUUUGGGACCGAGUCUUGAGUCAAUUUGACCUCGUUUGGCCUUAAGGGUAAAUAGCAGAUUUUUAAAGGUUAGUCUAGGAAUUUAAUUAGGGAGAAUCUUCUGUAACUAGUUGAGGAAACCUCCUUGAAGGUAGGGUGGGCACUAUUUUGAAAAUCUAAAUUUUAAACUAAGGGCUCCUAAGCAGAAAUAAAAAUUCAAAAAGGGUCAAAAUGAAAAAAUCUGAUGCCCUUGGGCUGUCCUAAAAGCCUGCCUAUAAAGGCAUCAUUUCUUCUUUAGGAAGGCAGAGAUUUUAAGAGAUAAAAACUUGGAAAAAAAUUGAUACGGCUGAAGUUCUUUUCCUUUCAAGAAAAACACCUAAAUUGUGAGUUUUCUGCUUGAUUUCAAGUUUUAAUUCUCUUGCGAAAAGUCAUAUUUUAAAGGGUUCAAUAGAAAUGGUGUAUUUGGGAUUCUAAACAUCAGAAUUUGGGUUAGAAAAUCUUAUGCUUGACUUGCUGAUUCUGUUACUGUUUCAUUGCUGGAUUAAGUUGAUUUAUGUUGCUGUUUAUUGCUGAUUCUUCACCUCUUUUAUUUUCUCUGUUCAUUACCAGGUAUUACUUCAAACCAUUAUCAAUGAGUGACUAAGAACAUGUAUUUCGAGCUAAGGCCUUACUGAAUAAAGUUAUUUUGUUUUUGGAUUCCCUUCAUCUGCUUCUUCUACUUCUUUAAAUGUUCUGUAAUAGACCCGAUAUUAUAUAUGUUAGCCUAAUUGUUGUAUUGUAGAAAUGAAUCUAUGCCCUUUAAGAGUUUCACAUUUGUAUGAUGUCUUAAUAGCUUGAUUCACUAUGUUUUCUACUUAAUUUCUUAUUUAGGCAGUAGAGUUUGUAUGCUUAUGUUUGAUUUGGGACUGUUAGAGGUAGUGCAGUAGACGGUUUGUUCUAGGUAUAUGGCCAUCUUUUUAUUUUGCUGAGAGUCAGUGUGUUGAUUUCAUAUGGAAUUUGCAAAAUAACAAGUGUAAUUGGCUAUUUGAAGGGAAUGGUGAUGUGAUCUAAGGUUUGCUUGUUAUGUUUUGCUGCAAAAUAAGGUUUGACUUGUGAUAUAUAGACCCAUGAUAAGAGUAGUUUAAUUCACCCAUUAGUCUUGUUUAAAGGUUUUUGAGCAGGAAUAGAUUUAGUGUUUAAUGUACUGUGAAAUGAGAGUUUGAGUCUUGUAGUUUUGAAGUAUGUUUUGUCGCAAGAGAAGAGUUUAAGGGCAUGGUGUGAGAGAUUUCAUAUAAUUCUAUAAAAAAACUUUCAAAAUUGAGUAAUCUUAGAGGUUGAAUAUUUUUAUGUGUGGUGGAAUGUACGCACCUGAAAUUAACCAUUUGUUUAAGGCUGUUUGGAAUGAGAUUAAGUGAUUGGAGUGAGAGGUCUUGUUUGUUUGCUCAAUUCUAAAUGAAUGUGUUUGGGUUCUCAUGACCUUAAAGAAUGUUGCCAUCUUGGAAGGGAUUUGAAUAUCAAAAAUAUACUUUGUAUUUGUCUGCAUUUGCAAAAAGCUGGCCACUAAUUGUUUAAUUCUAAGCUCUGCAUAAUGGGUAAUUUUUGCUUAAUUAAUCAUGUCUACGGGCAACUGGGACCCAUAGCAUUGGCACAAUGCUCUCUUGACGUUCCAUCUAAAGGUUCCAUU
Molecule: long non-coding RNA, 2655 nt
Filed under: Nicotiana benthamiana
Lineage: Eukaryota; Viridiplantae; Streptophyta; Magnoliopsida; Solanales; Solanaceae
Description: long non-coding RNA (NBEN_LNC029005)
Source: RNAcentral